Molecule: long non-coding RNA, 8742 nt
Filed under: Aquilegia coerulea
Lineage: Eukaryota; Viridiplantae; Streptophyta; Magnoliopsida; Ranunculales; Ranunculaceae
Description: long non-coding RNA (ACOE_LNC002022)
Source: RNAcentral
AAUGUCGUGCUAUAGGUAUAUAAUUACAAGCAUUCAUCUAAUAAUAAAGAGCGUGUGCAGUUUAAUUUUGUCGCUAACCUUACUAAUAUAAGAUGGGGUACCCGCUUCAGCAACAUCAGUUGUUACAAGAACCUCGACAAUGGGAUCACACUGGAAACGACAGAUAUACAGUUAAUAAGGAUUUGUAUCUGACACGCCACAUGCAAUGUUUGACAAUCUCCCAAUUUGAGUGAAAAAAUACAAUUCAAGUACAAGUUUCAUGUAAUCUAUAUUAUACUGUAAUCUAUAUUAUACUGUUCGUGGACACACAAACUUGGGGAGAUAAACAUAACUAGACAAAGACAAAAAAUGGGCUUAAGUUGUUAUGUUAUAUGGGCUUAAGUUGCUGUUAUGUUUCAAAUUGGGCUUGAGAUGGGCUUUAGUUGAAACCUUAUUGGAGACAGAAUAUGGGUUUAAGUUGUUAUGUUAUAUGGGCUUAAGUUGUUCUUAUGUUUCGAAUUGGGCUUGAGAUGAGCUUUGGUUGAAAAUACUUAUCAACCUUUACAACAGAGCUAUCAACUGCUCCUUUCACUCCACCGCCGGAGUUGAAUCACUUCACUACUCCAUCCUCUCCCGAUGUGCCUUUUGCUCUGACCUUUUCAUCUGCUAUGGAUCCCAAAAGCACCAGUAAAUCAAGUUAUGUCACUGCCAAUUUCAACUUCUAUCAACACUCAACUUCUAUUACCAAAAUACUUUUCAAUUUCAAUUUCUAUUUCUUUAACUUUAACUUAUCGAUUUCAAUUUCUAUUAGUUAUCAAUUUUUAUUGCUUAAGUUGUUAUGUUGGCCUUAAGUUGUUAUGUUGGGCUUAUCUCUUCGACUGCCUAAAACCUUAAUUAAGCGAAAGAUUCUCUUUGUCUGUGAAUCAAAUCGAACACAGAGGUAACUCUCUUCUUCCACCUUCAUCUUCUACUACUUGAUAAUCCAAUUUGUCUUUUUUUUGUUGUUCUCCCAAUGAAAUUUAUUUUGCUAAUUGUUUAUUUAUUGUGAGUUAAAAUAGGUUGUUCCUUCUGCAUAGAAAUAGAAAGGUUAUUAUUUUUCGAUUUAGUUACUAAAAGAGUUGGUACUUGGUACAGAGAUAUCAAAGAAGAGUGCGAAAAAAACAAAACAUUGAUGAAAAAAUUGUGAUUUUUUCACAUGAACCUGUUGUUCCUACUUCCUAAGAAACAAGCAGUGGCUCUUCUUCCUCUACAAGUCUACAAGUUGGCUUUUUUCUUAAUCUUCCUCUCCUCGCAACAAGUAACUAAGUAAGCACUUUCUCUUUUUGUAGGUUGUUUAUUUUCUUCAUUUUUUGUACUUUUUUUAUGUGUUUGCAUGUGGUUUGUAACCAGCAGUAGUAUGUCAACCCCUCCAAUCAUUAAGAUUAUAAUCACUGAGUUAUCGACAAUAGGAGAAUUCAAUGGGGUAUAUAGAUUUAUGUUAUAGAAAUUUAAUAUCAUUCAAGAUGCCAAAUCAGUACCAAUAAUAGUAAUUAAUAAUAAACGGGAGAAAAUAUUUUGGCCCUUUCGGGAGAGAUCUUUUAGAGUAGAGGCAUCCCUUUGUGCUAAAAUUCACAGUUACUAAGCCAAAGCAUUGGCUCAGUAACGAAAUGAACCCUCAUAUCAGCUCAAGGUGACUGGCCUGUGAGACAAUGUUUAACUUAGGAUCGAAGACAUCAAUGCCAUGGAUAACUCAAAAGAGUCCAGAGAGUGCAAAGGUCAUAUGACUAAUGACUUUCAUACUGUCCAAGAAGGUCCUUGCUAUAUUGAGAGAAAAUUUACGAACGUCUUUUCAAUAUAGCUUUCUUCAUGCUUACAACUUAAAUCUAAUGCCUCAAGGACUGGGACUUCUCGAAGUAUUAGAGUGGUUUGCGACCACCUAAUGUCACGAUUGUCAAAGCUAAUACUGAUGACGCCUUUAUAGGUAACCCAGGACAAGGCGACAUAGGAGUGAUCUAUAGAAAUCAUUCAGGAGAAUUUAUGGGGUGCUUGGCACAAGGACUAGGCAUCACAGAUAACUUCACAGCUGAGUGUUGGGCAAUAACUAAAGCUAUUGAAGAAGCCAUUGAUCAAGGAUGGCUGAACUUAUGAGUGGAAACUGAGUUCAUACCAGCUGCUUAGGUGUGUAGUAACCGGAGUCCUCCAUAGCAGGUUCGAGCUCAAUUUAUGAGGGCAACUAAAAGAAUCCAAUCUUUAUGUAUAACCCAUAUUUAUAGAGGGUAAUUUUUCAGCUGACAUGGCAGCAAAGAGAGGGUCAACUCUGAACUUAGGUAUGAAAGAGUGGAGCUUAAUUAGACCCACAUUCAUUACUUGCUUGGAGGAAACCUACAGAGCUUAUUAUAGACUUAAGUGAUGAUUUGAUGUAAGCAUGAAGAGCUUGGAAUAUAAACUCAGUUCCUCAAUUUUCUUUUGUAUUUCCUUUUCUUUUUAUUAAUGAAGCUCACCUUAGCAAAAAAAAAAAAAAAAAAAUCCAGCAAUUUUCUGGAAUGUAGACUGUUUAGAAAACCAAAUAUACAUACUGCCUAUAAAACCGAAGGACAAGCUUAUUCCAGUAUUGAUCCAUUGAGUGUGGCGUUGUUUUUGAAGUUUAUUGCUUUGAUUCUGCGAUAGAUUGAAAUCUACCAAUGGUAAUAACUUUUAGUAACAAUUAUUCAGUCUCCCAUCUUCUUUUACUUGGUAUAUUUGUAGGAUGAGUAUCUGAAAGCUUAUUAUGAUCCAUAUGCCGCUUUGCUCUUGAAACAACAAGAACUAGAAGAUACAAGUAAUUUUUCAAACCAGUCUAAUCGUCAAGGUCAGGUACAAUGAUGAUGCCGAAUAAGAAGAUGCUCUAACUUCAGGUACACUUUUCUUGCAUUAUCAGCUAAACUACGCUUAUCUCUUUGUGAAGUAAGAUAAAUUAUGUGGCUGAAAGUGUAGUUCCUAAUAUAUAUUUAGUUAUUAUUAUAUAUUUAAAAACCUCUCAUAUUCCCAAUGGAUUUUGAAGAUUAAGUUGUAAUUUUUGUGUGUGGUCGUUUAAUAAAUAUGUAUUAACUAGAAUAUGGGUAGGAAUAUUGAGGAAUUUGUUUAAAGUAGAUGUUCAUCAGAGCCAACCAUUGGAAGCCUUCAAAAAUAAAAAUGAAAGUUAAUAGUGCUCACUAUAUGCUUGCCUACUGAUCAGAGGGUAACAAAAUGGAAAACAUUAUAUUAUGAACACUGAUAUAUAAUACAUAUGGGUGUGCCUUCGGCAGUUUGAACACAACCCAAACUGAUGCAAGAGCAGAAUAAAUUUGAUGUUGUCAUUAUUAUUUUAGGCUUGGAGAUGAGCUCAUAUUUAAGGUUUCCUAUUAUUUUGUUCCAUUAUUUUGAUUUUGAAUUUGGAUUCCUAAGGAGAUUAGGAUGAAUGUUUUAUUUUAGUUGAUGCCUUUUACAUUGUGUUUCUAAUGGGAAUAUCAAAGCAUUAAUAAAGUUGGUAUCGUGAUUUUUUCAUUGUUGAUAGUGCAUUGGUAUGUAUGAGCUCCCUACAGUAUGUAUUUGCCUCUGUAUUUGUUUUAAAAUAUUAUGGACUGCUUUUGGCUUUAUGUCUUUAACAAUGAAAAGAAUUCAACCAAGGUGCAGUUAUAUUUAAACUUGAUUAUGUUUCAACAACCCAGCUAAUUAUAUGAGGAAGUCCCGGCUCCCUUUCCCAAUUACAUUAUAUUGGGGAGUUUCAUUUAUUUACUCUUAUUUUAUUGUGUUUGUAAAUAAUUAUACCUUCUAUUUGCAAUGUGGUAUUUUCUAAAAUAUAAUUGUUAAAAGUGGGUUUUUUUCUCCCUCUCUCUCUCUGUUAUUUUUUCCUUUUAUAGAAAGUACAAGUCAUUAAUAUACGACCAUAAAAACAAAUAGUAGACUAAUUUAUUAUCUGCCAGCUAGAAAAAUCCCUAUUUUGUCUUUCCAAAGAAGAUAUUAUUGUAUUAUACUAUUAUCUGAUAGCUGGAAGUUGACGGAAAUAAUGGUUCACUUUUUUUUUUUUUUUUUUUUUCUAAGUAACUUUCUCCAACUUACUACAGGCAGCCCCAAGCAAAAUGUGUGAUUUAAAUGUUAAAGAUACAGCUUCCGGAGAUGACAAGGAAAACAAUCUAAGGAGUUCUUAUAUCAUUAUAUGGAGCACCUGCACUGCACGUUUUUAAGAAAUGAAGGUGAGAUGAGCAAAUUUGUCUGCAAUGCCUUCAUAAGAGAUGUAGCUUAUGUGGUCAAUCUCUUUGAAUUGAUACGGUGUUAUGGAACACAAUUAUUUUCAGUUCUUGCAAAGAACAAAUUUUAUGGCGAAGCUUCAAGAACAUUUUGUGAACUGAGAAAAGCAGGGUAGCAAGCGACAUAAUUACAUGGACUUUGAUGGUUUCAGGUUAUACACAUUAUGGGUUGGUGGAUGUGAGUCUAAAAUAUUAUGGAUUAACAAAAUAAUGAUGUUGUUUCCUGGAACAAAAUGAUUGAGGGAUUUGCAAUUUAUGUAUGGGAACACAAAGUUGCACUUGCUUUAAUGUUGUGUGCAGGAGAAAUCCCUGACAGUGUUACAUUCAUAAGGGUCCUCAACACAUGUAGUCAUGUUGGACUACAUGUGAGAUCCAAUACAAUAGUGCAAAUAUCAAAUCAAUUUUGUGUUUGGAUGCACUAUAUGCGAGAGAUGUAAGGAAAAUGUGAUCCAAUUUUUCUUUAGUUCUGCUAUGAGCAAAGUCGCUCCAAUAAAUGUGAGAAACAUAUUUGAUUAUAUUGAUGUUAAUGUUUUCUAACGUGUUUUAUAUUCUCAACAAGUUUGUAUUUUGUUAGGAGUUUGUUGCAUUUUUUUUUUUUUUUUUGGUAAGGUGAUCAUACUCAAUUGUUUGUUACCAGUUGUAUCUCAAGUGGUAAGGGAUCCUACUCAAUUUUUAAUUCUCAAUUUAAACAUCGUACAACAUUGUUCCAAGCAAUGGUUGCAGACUUGCAGAGAUACAACGAUGGAUAUAACUACCCUAUCAGCCCAUUGAUGAACUGCAUGUUGAUCAGUUGUAAUUCUGUUGUGUGUAAUGGUGUGGUAACAGGAACUGGGAAGACUGUGCUGCUGAGUGGUAUAUUGUAGGGUGCCUUUCAACUGAUUUUUGCAGGCUGCAAUUAGUUUGUAAAUUGAAGGGACAGAGUGCAACAUAGUUUCUUGACAAUUAGAGUAUGAAUAAAGAUGUAGUUAAUCAUGCCUGGUUAGUUGUAGGCUUUGUCUAUGCUGGUAGAUAUGUUUUGUAUGUGUACUUUAUGUUGUUUCUGUUUUAUGGGUGGGUUAUGUAUAAUUCUGUACGAAGAGGAGCAUGUCCUCUGGGAGGUAUUUGAUGGUGCAUUUAAACUAUGUGUGCUCAUCAGACUUUAUAUAUGGUUUGGUUUUUUUAGUGUUUAAUAAAAUACAAACUACUAUAUAGACCAUCAAAUAAUGCCUUAAAUCUUCAAUUUGUCCAUCUAUGUUAAAGACCAUUGCUAUAGUUACGAAGAUAGAAAUGACCACCCUAUCAGCCUACUGAUGCUGAAAACUAACAAUCCACUUGUUUGGUAUCCUUCCACUGCCUUUACAGUCACACUUGAUGUCACAAUACUCCAUCUGAAAUUAUUAAAAGUGAUCAUAAUGAACAAGAAUAUAUUUUUGGUUCUAUAAAAUAUACGAGUUGAUAGGAUGUGUUUGAUUCGCAUGCAUUUGAUUCCCGGGAAAAUGAAUAGAAAUGGCUAAGUUUUAAAAGAUUUUGAGUAGGAGAUCGGAAUUCAGAUUCCGGGCAUAGCUAUUUUAUUUGAAUACGAUUUUCAUUUAAAAAAAAAAAAAAAAAAAAAAAAAACCAUUUUAUAUAAUUAAUAGGACAAAGCAGACAAGUGUUUCACUUUAGUAAGAAUUUCGUCAAUCUCUGUCUCUAUUUCUCUCCCUUUUCUGCCCACUCUCUCUCCCUCUCCCAUCAUUCAAUGUUACAUUAGUACCCUUCAUUUCUUUGGAAUUUAAAUUCCAUGAACCAAAGACAGCGAUGAUUAUAGUUCUAAACAUGAUGUUAUUAAAAGUGACUUAAAACCAAACGGGAUAUGACAAGAUUUGGAUAAAAUUUCUAUCAUUUACGGGAACAAAACUACUAAAAAAUUCCCAAGAAAACCAUGAAUCCAAAAAGUCUGUUAACAAUCAACACAAACAUAAACAACAAUAAAAGCUUCAAUCCAACGUUCGGAUACAAAGCAAUAAAGUACAUCCACAAAUACAUAUAUCAGAAAAAAUAAAAGCUUAGAAAAUACUUCGACAACCAAAAUAAACAAUAUUGGUAUGGAACAUAUGGAAGUUCAAACAAAAACUGGAAACAAACAUACUUGAAGCAACAAUAGAUGUAAUGGAACAAUGACAAAAAUAUAUAUUUUUAAUACUUGAUUUUUAGAUUUAUUUAUCUUACUCUCAUAGUCCAAGUUCCUAAGAUUUAAGUUUAGUCUUGCUAUCUAUUAUUUACCACUUUCUGAGAAUCAAAAGCUAUUUAUCUGGUCGAAACUAACGUGGCGUAGCCAUGGGUACAACUAGUAUCUUUAUAAAACACACACCUCUAUAUAGUACGCUGGUCCCAUAAGCCUUGGUGAUGCCAUUAGAUUCAUGGAGGCGGCCACAUGGCUGACAGUGAGAAUGAUCUGAUCAGUACGUGCAAUAGCAUAUUAGGUCUACGCAAAUAAAACAAAAAGACAGAAUUUCUCACAGUAACAUACCCACAUAUAACAACUAGGAAGUAUGAAUCCACCACAAAUCAAUAACUGAAAACAUAUCCAAAAAUGCCAACAGUUAAAGACACAUACUGUUGCCAACAGUUAAAGCCCAAGGAAUAUCGCAGAAAAAGUGAAAAAACCAAAGUACUUAAUUAAUGCAAAUUACUUAAUAAAAAGUUGGCUACCUGGAGCUCUCCAAUGUCAGGAUAUCUUCAAUCGCAACUUUCCACAAGGACCUAAUCCAAACUUCAAUCUCAGAGAUGAAUCCAUUCUCGAAGAACUCACUGAAUUUUACUUGGAAGUUUCUUAUGUUGUCAAAGUAAACCUAGAUGAAGUGUCAUAUCCAGAAACAAAUUAUUAUGUGAGAAUAAAAUGGUCCAACAAACUACAACAUAGACAAGGCCUGGAAGUUUGCUGAAGGGAAGGUCUGAAAGACUAUGGCUAUAUAUCUGUUGGGUCUCUCAGCAACGAUAGUACAUAGGGAGCAAGAGAGUUACCUGGCGCCACAAGCAGCAGCAGUCCAAAAGCUCCCAGCAGCAGUACAAGCAUUCUGCAGGUUUGGUUAGAGUGUUUCCUGGGCUUUCGGCUUUGCUUGUAUGUGUACACAUGGUAUGUAAAGGUGGGGUUGGGAAUGAGAUGAUGUAUAUAACAAGGAAAUGUCUUUUGGGGUGUAAUCUGAUGAUGCAGUCCUUGCAUUCUGAUCAGACGAUAUUGUAAGCCUGAUUUUUCUUUAGAAAUACAUAUACUACUUUUAUCAAAAAUAAAUAAAGCUUUGUAACAACAAUCCUACUAUAACUUUGACAUGUACUUUUAAGGAGUGGUGGAAUAUUAUGUUGUUUUCUUCAAACAUAAACCUAAUAACACAUCAAUUUAUUUAUUUUUUGUUAUCGUUAUCCUCUGUCUCUCAAUCCUUAGACCCAAUUUUUCUUAGAAUAUGGUAUCAAUCUUUCAAUUUUAAAUAGCAAAUCAAACAAAUAACCAUACAAAUUGUUUUAGAUUUUAGCAAAUCUCUCCGUCCUACUAACCUAAAAAAAUAUUUUGAAACUAAUUGAAUGGCUAAAACUGCGGGAGAGCGGUUUGGGAGCCGGGGGCGGUGCAGUAGCUAGACGGUAAAGUCCCACAUGAAACUGGAUUUGGGUCUACGCAUGAAACGAAGACCAUAGCUGCCGAUCAGGACCUGAUGUGUGACUGGGUCCUUGUUCUUACAGUGUAGCAUUACAUGGUUUUUUCAAUUUCAUUACGUAAAGUCAGGAUUGUGAUUAAUCUUUCACAACCUGACUCCACUAUGUAAUCUUUCCCUUCGAUAAAGUGAAAGUUAUAAAUAAGCAAACUAGUCGUAAACCAUUUUCAAUCUUGGAUUACCCAAUUUCAUUCUAAUUCCUAACACUAUGUGAUAUGAAUAACAAUAAAAAUUCUCGUUUUCUUCUUUUUUGUAAAAAUUUAGUUUUAACAGAAUCAAAUUGUAGAGAAAUCAAAGCCUUGAAUAGAUGGAAUUCAACUUAUCUAACCUUUCAACCAAGGUUGCAACCCCUAACAGCCGAGAGAAACCGAGAAAACACCCCAGCUUGUUCCAAAUAAACAGAUUCUAUUGACUAGUCAAAAUCGAAAUCCAAACUAGGGUUUAUAUAGAUAAUUGAGAGAAACAGAGACCAAGUGGCAGGAAGCAUCAAAGUAAUCGAGACAGAAGAGUAGGAAGAAGAUGAUAAAGGGUGAGAGAAAGAAUUUCAAACUCAGGGUUCAAAUCAGAUCGAGGAAGUGAGAAAGGUUGAGAUUGUGGUGAGGAGGAAGAGAGAGUCGAGGAAGUGGGUGGUUUCUCUUGUUAACGCCUUGGCUUUCCUCAUGUGAUAAGCACGUCACAAAUUUUGGUUUUUUUUUAUUAACUUCUAACAACACAAGGCCGUUAGUAUUAUUUUCUAGUAGUGUUACUAAAUAAUUCAAAAUAAUAUUAAUUUAUUACUAACAAAAAUUGGCCUUUACUAGCGGCAAAAAAAUGUUAUUACACUUCUAACAGCAAAAUGAUGUUAGAAAUCUAAA